UGGGGGACAACCGUGGGAAACUACGGCUAAUACCGCAUGAUGCCUGAGGGCCAAAGACGAAAGUCGUUUGAGGAGGAGCCUGCGUCUGAUUUAGGUAGUUGGUGGGGUAAAGGCCUACCCAAGCCUACGAUCAGUAGCUGGUCUGAGAGGAUGAUCAGCCACAUUGGGACUGAGACACGGCCCAAACUCCUACGGGAGGCAGCAGUGGGGAAUCUUGGACAAUGGGCGCAAGCCUGAUCCAGCAAUGCCGCGUGGGUGAAGAAGGUCUUCGGAUUGUAAAGCCCUUUUGGCGGGGACGAUGAUGACGGUACCCGCAGAAUAAGCUCCGGCUAACUUCGUG
This 340-nucleotide ribosomal RNA is filed under the name uncultured bacterium. RNAcentral describes it as "bacterial SSU rRNA". It matches the Rfam family "Bacterial small subunit ribosomal RNA", at positions 137 to 507 of the family's 1533-position model. The record is from RNAcentral.